GCGGAUGUGGCGGAACUGGCAGACGCGCUGGAUUUAGGUUCCAGUGCCUUCGGGCGUGCAGGUUCGAUUCCUGUCAUCCGCA
Transfer RNA from Weissella viridescens, 82 nucleotides. It matches the Rfam family "tRNA". Rfam says of the family: Transfer RNA (tRNA) molecules are approximately 80 nucleotides in length. Their secondary structure includes four short double-helical elements and three loops (D, anti-codon, and T loops). NCBI's taxonomy places the organism in Bacteria, Bacillati, Bacillota, Bacilli, Lactobacillales, Lactobacillaceae. The record is from Rfam.